Molecule: ribosomal RNA, 260 nt
Filed under: uncultured bacterium
Lineage: Bacteria
Description: partial 16S ribosomal RNA
Rfam family: Bacterial small subunit ribosomal RNA
Source: RNAcentral
CGGCGGACGGGUGAGUAACGCGUGGGCAACCUGCCUUACACAGGGGGAUAACAGUUAGAAAUGACUGCUAAUACCGCAUAAGACCGCAGUACCGCAUGGUACAGCGGUUAAAAACUCCGGUGGUGUAAGAUGGGCCCGCGUCUGAUUAGGUAGUUGGCCGGGGUAACGGCCCACCAAGCCGACGAUCAGUAGCCGACCUGAGAGGGUGACCGGCCACAUUGGGACUGAGACACGGCCCAGACUCCUACGGGAGGCAGCAG